Molecule: long non-coding RNA, 1030 nt
Organism: Zophobas morio
Lineage: Eukaryota; Metazoa; Arthropoda; Insecta; Coleoptera; Tenebrionidae
Exons: 2
Source: RefSeq, a predicted model, not a curated record
UUAUCACCACAAAUUGGCCGGUGCAGGCGGGCGCCGCCUCCGCCGCGAAAACAAAGCCGGCGAUCAUACGAGCUUGUGCGUAGUGACCUCUCCAAACAGUGCAGCGACUGUACCUAUCUUAACAACAAAUUUCGAGAUAUCGAGCAAUUCGUUAAAAAUUACAUCCUAUCUGUGCAGUGGCCGUUAACCCCCGCUCCACGUGUAGCGCUCGAAACGCCGCGGUGCUUCGCCGCCUUGCGCGGGCUUUGGAGGCCAACGUACAGCCCCCCCCUCCCGCCGCCACCCCGCGCGGAAAAGCAUCGAUCCGCUGGAUUUUUCGAAAACAGCGAGCGUUUCGGUCGUUCGGGGGGCGCGGGGGCGCGGGAGCGCAGGCGAGGGGUGGUAUUUUCGACUUUCCCGGCUAUUUUCGCCUAGAAAGAGAAAGUUUGCAUUUCCGAGGUUAUCCGAGCCGUGUCGAGGACAGGCGACUGUCACGGCCACCUUGACCAAUCUCAACGUAACUUAAGUGUGCCUCGUUUCGACGUGUGGGAACAUACAUAGACAGGGAGCGAUGGUUUCGUGGAUGGGCGGCCGUGGGUUUUAAUUAGGUUGGCAUUAUUGCGAGGUCUUGGCACUCGGGGGCUAGAGGAUUUUGGGCACUCAGACUGCGCUGUUGCUAAUGCUGGAUUCGAGAAGUGGCACGGUGACGUCACGGACCUUGAAAAUAUUCUGUUGACAUCAAUUCAUGGAAAGUAAACACAAUGGGAGUUACACGUUCGAUUGGAAGCAGGAGCGGGGACACUCACCGCUGGCCCUUGCCCCUUAGGGUUGCUGCACCACUGCGUUUUAUUAGUGCACGCAAUGAUAGGAAUUUUCACUUUUCGCUUUUUGGUUACACGUUCGAUUUGAAGCGAGCAGUGCCCUGUUACUGCGGGCUGCUACGCCACUGGGUUUAAUUAGCUGCGCCCCCAUCCACGCGGAUAACCCCGUAGACAUCUGCAUAACAAAAAUAAUUUGAUUGUACGUUAACAAAUAAAAGGUUAUCCCAUCA